CACACAUCUAUAUACCCCAACACAGAGAUACAUAAAAAAAAUAUAAACAUUGGACCCAGUAGAGGAGCCUUGGAAAUUUCUUUUUAAGAUUAUUCUAAACCACUUUUGAGAUCUCAGAGGUUCCUAACAUGAGAUCUGGGUGUUUCCAUGACUGUAGCUACCGUUUGUAGUUAACCUAUGAAAAAUAACUAUUUCUCCUGAAGUUCGUGUUAACCAUGGUCAAGUUCCUAUUUUAGGUUCCACGCCUCAGGGUGGUGAGGAACUCAAGUUCAGUUAUGCUAACUGCCGGGUACACAGCAGAGUGUUUCUAGCAUCUGUGUGGUCAAAGUAUAAUAAUGUUGCUUUUUAGAUGUUCCUGUCUUAGGACUUGCGCUCUCCCAGGGGUCAAGGGAGAAGAUAGCCUCAGCUUUGCUCACUCGGAACCCCCAGCCGGGACCUGUCUCAGUUGCUUCCCUCGUCCAUAGUUGAAGCCCAUGAGUGCUCUGUAGUUGGGGCUUAUGGAUGAUGAACCUGUCAUACAGAAUCCGUUGGAACCUGCUCAGAUGGGUCCUGAGAGUUUAAAACAACAAUACUACGAAGAGAGAGCUGGCCCAAGAACAGACUUGAGGAAGAAGGAAAAAUCCACAGCCACUACAGAGAGCCUUUUGUUCACCAGAGUUGACUCAGACAAUUCCAGAAAGGGGCACCUUGCUGAUUAUGGCUGUCCCAGAAGGAAGCAGCCAGGACAUCUCCAUAUGGAGGGAAAGAUGGCUUUUAUGUAG
Molecule: long non-coding RNA, 761 nt
Filed under: Rattus norvegicus (Norway rat)
Lineage: Eukaryota; Metazoa; Chordata; Mammalia; Rodentia; Muridae
Description: long non-coding RNA NONRATT032571
Source: RNAcentral